GUGUGAUGUCAUCAGGUCAGUGUGUGAUGUCAUCAGGUCAGUGUGUGAUGUCAUAAGGUCAAUGUGUGAUGUCAUAAGGUCAAUGUGUGAUGUCAUAAGGUGGAUAUUACUGUCUGAGAGUUUGUUAAAGUGAAAUGAGACAUUCAAAGAUGCAGCAGUGAGACUACAGGGAGACACUGAGGACGAGUAUCUACGGAGAGCCUGAAGGGACAAACAGGAGAAUAAUGUGAUGAACUCGUUAAUGCUGACAGCGCUACUU
Long non-coding RNA from Labrus mixtus (cuckoo wrasse), 259 nucleotides. RefSeq lists it as uncharacterized. The transcript is spliced from 2 exons. Lineage: Eukaryota; Metazoa; Chordata; Actinopteri; Labriformes; Labridae. The record is from RefSeq and is a predicted model, not a curated record.